This 349-nucleotide ribosomal RNA is filed under the name uncultured bacterium. RNAcentral's name for it is "bacterial SSU rRNA". It matches the Rfam family "Bacterial small subunit ribosomal RNA", at positions 29 to 361 of the family's 1533-position model. The record is from RNAcentral.
AACGAACGCUGGCGGCGUGCCUAACACAUGCAAGUCGUGCGAGAAAGUUCCUUCGGGAGCGAGUAAAGCGGCGCACGGGUGAGUAACACGUAGGUAACCUGCCCCCCAGUCUGGAACAACUAGAGGAAACUCUAGCUAAUGCCGGAUGAGACCACGAUCCCUUCGGGGUUGCGGCCAAAGAUGGCCUCUACUUGUAAGCUAUCGCUGAGGGAUGGGCCUGCGGGCCAUUAGCUUGUUGGUGAGGUAACGGCUCACCAAGGCUGUGAUGGCUAGCUGGUCUGAGAGGAUGACCAGCCACACUGGGACUGAGACACGGCCCAGACUCCCUACGGGAGGCAGCAGUGGGGAA